AAACCAAGUAUACCAUGUGUUAGCUGAAAAAGAAUGCGUAAGCACGCAAAUGUCAGCUCUUCUACCCAGGACAACUAAAUUAUGAAUUUUGUGAAGAAAAGCAGACAUAAAGAUAGUUUGGCAUAUUAUCUUCAAAGUUUUGACAAAUAUAACCUCAAGCACUGUUCUUCAAAUUAACAUGCUCACAAACUAACAUGUCUUAUUAUGGUUAUAACAGGAGUCCAAAUCUUAACUAAGUCAAAGGUACCAAAUUUUACUUCUCUUGUUAAUUCCGCUAAGCAUGGGAUAAUCAAAUAAUGGCUUUAAUGUAAAGUAAUGGCCAGUACUUUAACAGGCUAUAGCCUUCCUGUUGUAUAACAGGUGUAGUGAAAAAUGGCCAUUACUUAACAAUGUCAGAAACCAACAAUCCGAGACAAAAGAUUAUGUAUGUUCCUUUGCAAGGUUUUUGUAAUUCUCUCCUUUACUUUAUGCUAAAAGGACUCAAAUAUCAUAGAAAUUUAAAGAUCACUGUUGAAAAUAUUCUGAGAAAGAUAAAAACUAGCUCACAAGACUACAUAAGGGUUCCACCCCAACUCCCUUGCAGUGGCAAAAUGCAAGUUAAACUUGCUAACUUUUUAGUCUUUCUUUUCUCUAUCUUAUUCUUCUUCUUCCCCCUUUUUCCUUUCAAAAUUCUGAUACUCUUUUUGAUGGAGUCAUGAUAAGGCCAGCAACUAUGUAUUACUUUCAAUUUGAUUUAUAAUUAAGGAAUACAAUUUAAUACCAUCAUUUUUCAUUUAGCCAUCCUUUACUUUGUGUUUUACUGAAGUUUAAUUAUAUGUAAGCAUUUUAUUCAUUUUUUUUUUUAAAUUAUUGUGCUGUGAUGGCCACAACCACACCUGUAAAAUUUCAAAAUGUAAAGCUUGUGAAAACCCACCUCUGUGAAACACGGCCAUGACUGCAAUCUAAAACUAUGGCCCUAAAGUAGGAAGACUUUAUCCAAAUUGAAAGCUGCAAAUAUUUAGCCAAGUUCUAGGGGACAUACCACAACCUUCAAUGUUAAAUCUAAAUCAUCACACAUAAGAACCAAUCAGUGAACCCUCAAGAUCCCAUAACAAGUUGGAUUGGACAUUAAGAUCCAAGAACAGGAAAUGAUAAUUAGUGAAGUUGAAACUGUUGAUAUUCUGCUCACCAGAUAUGUUAAAGCUUUUAAUGGACCGGACAACACAAAUAAAAGCAUAGCUGUUGUCACCUGCCAGAUUGUAACAUCAGUCCAACAAUAAUACAACACUUAGAUGAAUCAAGAAGUUUUAGACUUUAAUAAUGCAAGUCAUGGAUGGCUACAAAACACUGUUUUCCUCCUAGCUGCGACACCCCAUCUCAUUGAAGAGAUUACCAUUGGCAAUGAGAAGAAACAUCCAAAGUAAUUCUGUACAAAACCAAAUUCUACAGAGACACAGGUGGGGCAAAAUAUAAAAUACAGCAAAAAGAACUUAACAAAUAGAUUCUUAACCCAAAUAUAAAAGCUUUAUUUCCUUAUCAUUACUUUGUAGCAAUGGACUAAAGCAUAAAAGAAUCAACAAUCAAUCAAAUACAGAAAUAAUAAUCCAGAAAUUUCAGAACUUUGAGAUUAAAUUGAGGAUAAACUACACGAGUCAACAACCAAAUCAAGCAACCAAGUUAAAUAAAAGCAGUAACCAAUAAGACUAAGUAUGUUUAGUAUGUUAACAAGAAGAAAAAGAAACCACUAUAAGAUUUAAAUCAUUUCACAGGAACAAAAUAAUUAAGCCAAAUAUAAAAUUUUAUCAAGCUUCAGGCACCAGAAUUACAAAUACAUAUCAACUGAGAAAAACUUAAGAAUUAUAUAAAAAAAGGAGGUAAAAAUUGAUGCUAAUAGCAAAUAAGAUUUAAUGCAUACCUUGCUGAAUUGCAAAAGGAGUAACACAACUAGACCAAGUAAUACUAGUGUAAGACUUCUUGAAUCAGAAAAUCUAAUUCUCAUUCAGGAAGAAAUAAUUGUUUGGCAGAGUUGUAAUUUUCCAACUGAUACAUUUUUCCCUGGAAUGGAAUUAGGAUGGUUUGACACGGAUACAAAUCACACAAGGAAAGAGUUCUCUUGUAUCAUGGUUAAGCCCAUCUUUGCCAAGUAGUGGUUCAUUUGCUUUUGGCAUGGAUCCUGUAAAUAAGUCACAGAUCAAUCUGUGGCAACCAAGUGAUAAACGAGACAUUGGGUUUUGGGAUGGCCAAUGUUUCAGGUUUAUAUUCCAAAGUUCUUCAGAUAGGUACAAUUUCAGCUUUAUAUCAAAUAACAAGGACAUUUACCUCACUUAUGAUAACAAUGAAAGUAUUACACCUUCAUGGUUUGUAUUGGCUUCAUCUGGGGAUAUCAACGAGUAAGAAAGGAUAGAAAUUGUAUCCUGGACUUCCCACAUCUCACAAGUCAACUAUAUCCCUUCCCCAGGCAGUUUAGACAGCGCUGAACCCUGUUACCAUCACAAGUAGGGCAAAGGCAAGGGUUCACAGCAAUGGGAUCAUAUAAAGGCGACCACUUUAUAGUAGCAUUGCCUUUGCACAAUUUGCAUAUAUAAUACCCUUUUCCUCUGCAUACUCCACAAGGCAAUGCAUCCUUUCUCAGUUUGAGCUCAGUUGCAUAGCGAAAGCCUCCGAUAGCUAUAGAUGAAGUGAUAUUGAGAGCGGCCACACUACCCAAGAAAAUAGCAGCUCCAGUAGCCAGCGUGCGCAGCGGUUUUGGAAUCAUUUUUCGGGGUUGAGGUCCUCACAGGAUUUUCUUCGAACAGUAUGAGUGAAUGAAACAAAGAGCUCAACCUUCUAUACAAAUCUUGUGGCCUGCCUACCCACUAGUCAACGACUGCAGAGACUUUUAUAGUUUCCUUGUACGGGUAAAACACACUGUUUUCAGGUCAUAUGCGAUUGUUGGCCACCGGUGCGUACUGGCAAGAAUACAACGGUCCCUGUUCCAAUUCUUGUCUCUCGAGAGUUGAGAAUGAUUACAGUCUACGAGAUUUUUACACAGUCAAAGCAACCUGAAAUGAAAAUUGAUUAUUUAAUGAACUAUAAUAUAGAGUUUGAUUGAGUUUGAUUGGUAGAUGAUCGGGGGAAGGUUCACCGAGGCUUCAUUGUCAUCCCUGGAGAAAAAAGCAUUUAAUGUGACUUGGUGUUAGAACACAAGGAGAGGAAAGGGAGAAAUUAACUACGAAGCUAAUUAGCGUUGCAGUCUUUUCCAGGUACGUAGCUUCAUCCAUUGCGCUAGAAAUACCAGUGAACGGAUUACGUAGCAACAGUUCCCUUUCCUGCUGAACUUGGGCUAAGACUUUAAGCCCAAAUCUGGGCAAGCUCCAACCUAAAGCGAUACCCCAUACCUAAAAUUUGGAUUAAGUCUGGCUAAACCCACAUCCUAA
This 3395-nucleotide unclassified non-coding RNA is filed under the name Hevea brasiliensis (rubber tree). Lineage: Eukaryota; Viridiplantae; Streptophyta; Magnoliopsida; Malpighiales; Euphorbiaceae. The record is from RNAcentral.